This 253-nucleotide ribosomal RNA is filed under the name uncultured bacterium. RNAcentral describes it as "partial 16S ribosomal RNA". It matches the Rfam family "Bacterial small subunit ribosomal RNA", at positions 524 to 776 of the family's 1533-position model. The record is from RNAcentral.
AACGUAGGAGACAAACGUUAUCCGGAGUUACUGGGCGUAAAGGGCGUGUAGGCGGUUAGUUAAGUCUGGCGUGAAAGCUCUCGGCUAAACCGGGAGAGGUCGUCGGAUACUGGCAAACUAGAGGACGGUAGAGGCGUGUGGAAUUCCGGGUGUAGUGGUGAAAUGCGUAGAGAUCCGGAGGAACACCAGUGGCGAAGGCGGCGAUCUGGGCAGAUACUGACGCUGAGGUGCGAAAGCGUGGGGAGCAAACAGG